AAUUCUGUGAUGAGGACACUUACAAAGUAACUCCUUGAAUCUUUCUUAUGCCUCGUACAAGGAUUCGUCAUCCAAUUGUGAAAAAGUGGUUAUCUUAUUUGGCAACU
Molecule: non-coding RNA, 107 nt
Organism: Gossypium raimondii (Peruvian cotton)
Lineage: Eukaryota; Viridiplantae; Streptophyta; Magnoliopsida; Malvales; Malvaceae
Source: Rfam